This 26-nucleotide ribosomal RNA is filed under the name Fasciola sp. RNAcentral describes it as "partial 28S ribosomal RNA". Lineage: Eukaryota; Metazoa; Platyhelminthes; Trematoda; Plagiorchiida; Fasciolidae. The record is from RNAcentral.
CUGACCUCGGUUCAGACGUGAUUACC